GGGAUUGCCCUAGUAACGGCGAGUGAAGCGGCAACAGCUCAAAUUUGAAAUCUGGCUCUCUUUGGGGGUCCGAGUUGUAAUUUGUAGAGGGUGCUUCGGCGUUGGCACUGGCCUAAGUUCUUUGGAACAAGACGUCAUAGAGGGUGAGAAUCCCGUAUGCGGCUAAUUGUCUUCGCCAUGUGAAGCCCCUUCGACGAGUCGAGUUGUUUGGGAAUGCAGCUCUAAAUGGGAGGUAUAUUUCUUCUAAAGCUAAAUACCGGCCAGAGACCGAUAGCGCACAAGUAGAGUGAUCGAAAGAUGAAAAGCACUUUGGAAAGAGAGUCAAAAAGCACGUGAAAUUGUUGAAAGGGAAGCGCUUGCAACCAGACUUGCCUGCCGUUGCUCAUCUAGGCUUUUGCCUGGUGCACUCUUCGGUAGGCAGGCCAGCAUCAGUUCGGGCGGUCAGAUAAAGGCCUUGGGAAUGUAGCUCUCUCCGGAGAGUGUUAUAGCCCAGGGUGCCAUGUGGCCAGCCUGGACUGAGGUCCGCGCUUCGGCUAGGAUGCUGGCGUAAUGGUCGUAAGCGGCCCGUCUUGAAACACGGACCAAGGAGUCUAACAUCUAUGCGAGUGUUUGGGUGUCAAGCCCGGGCGCGUAAUGAAAGUGAACGGAGGUGGGAACCUUUUAGGUGCACCAUCGACCGAUCCUGAUGUCUUCGGAUGGAUUUGAGUAAGAGCAUAGCUGUUGGGACCCGAAAGAUGGUGAACUAUGCCUGAAUAGGGUGAAGCCAGAGGAAACUCUGGUGGAGGCUCGCAGCGGUUCUGACGUGCAAAUCGAUCGUCAAAUUUGGGCAUAGGGGCGAAAGACUAAUCGAACUAUAUAGUAGCUGGUUCCU
RNAcentral lists this ribosomal RNA (871 nucleotides) under Neomassaria sp. Its description in RNAcentral is "partial large subunit ribosomal RNA". It matches the Rfam family "Eukaryotic large subunit ribosomal RNA", at positions 71 to 959 of the family's 3401-position model. Lineage: Eukaryota; Fungi; Ascomycota; Dothideomycetes; Pleosporales; Neomassariaceae. The record is from RNAcentral.